CCAGACUCCUACGGGAGGCAGCAGUGGGGAAUAUUGCACAAUGGGGGAAACCCUGAUGCAGCGACGCCGCGUGAGUGAAGAAGCGUUUCGGCGCGUAAAGCUCUGUCAGCGGGGAAGAAACACGGUUCGCGAGAGCCGCGGACGGUACCCGACCAAGAAGCCCCGGCUAACUACGUGCCAGCAGCCGCGGUAAUACGUAGGGGGCAAGCGUUGUCCGGAAUUACUGGGUGUAAAGGGAGCGUAGGCGGGCGAGAAAGUUGAAUGUUAAAUCUACCGGCUUAACUGGUAGCUGCGUUCAAAACUUCUUGUCUUGAGUGAAGUAGAGGCAGGCGGAAUUCCUAGUGUAGCGGUGAAAUGCGUAGAUAUUAGGAGGAACACCAGUGGCGAAGGCGGCCUGCUGGGCUUUAACUGACGCUGAGGCUCGAAAGCGUGGGGAGCAAACAGGAUUAGAUACCCUAGUA
RNAcentral lists this ribosomal RNA (461 nucleotides) under uncultured bacterium. Its description in RNAcentral is "bacterial SSU rRNA". It matches the Rfam family "Bacterial small subunit ribosomal RNA", at positions 331 to 792 of the family's 1533-position model. The record is from RNAcentral.